RNAcentral lists this long non-coding RNA (532 nucleotides) under Heterocephalus glaber (naked mole-rat). RNAcentral's name for it is "lncRNA (ENSHGLG00100040203.1)". The record is from RNAcentral. Lineage: Eukaryota; Metazoa; Chordata; Mammalia; Rodentia; Bathyergidae.
UGCCCCACCAGCUGCCAGCAUAGCCACGUGGGUGUCUGCAACAACAGCCCCACCCCACCCCACCUCAGGCCUCUUGGCUAUGCAGCUACUUGGUUCAAUACUACAGAGGCACAGGGGGACAUGAAGGCCAUUGUCUUGAGAUGCAGAAGUGAACAAAAGAGAGAAGGUGUCUCUCAGACUCCCUGAUGAAAACUGAAGCCCACUGGAAAAGUGAAGAGAAUCUCUAGAAUAAAGGCAAACCAGACCACCGUGCUUGAGACACAAAAGAGGAGUUCCAGAACAGGUUCAGAAAACAGCAAAAAAAUGAUGGGAUAAGCAAGUGUGAAGGAAGGGGGGAGGGUUCUAAGGGGAUCCAACUCAGGACCUUGCGCUUGCGAGGAAGGCGGCAGAACCACUGAGCUACACCCCCAGCCCUGUGAUAUAUCUUUUAAACAUUCAUUGUACCAUUUGAUAACACCUCAUAUGCAGCAUUGUUACCUUAAUUUGUAUAUUAACCAGUGUUAAUAAACAGUAUGAGUUCAUACCCUUUUUC